CCCCACCUGGCCAGCACUCUCCAUGUAGCAGUAAAGACUUCCUGGCCUCCAAACAUCGACGUCGGAGGAAUCGAACAUUGGAUAAUAAAACAGGCUCAAGAACUAAUUAUGAUUCUUAUCCGCACGUGUUAGGCCAGAAUAUAUUACCGCCAUUUUGCGUGCCAUCCACAUGCCCACCAAGCCUAUGUCACAUCAUCUUCCUUACCAACUGUGCGCUGACUAAAGAUCUACUUGCCAACUGACAUUAUACGUAUGGCUCAUUGCGUCACCAAUCUCCCU
RNAcentral lists this long non-coding RNA (279 nucleotides) under Elaeis guineensis (African oil palm). RNAcentral describes it as "long non-coding RNA (EGUI_LNC006161)". Lineage: Eukaryota; Viridiplantae; Streptophyta; Magnoliopsida; Arecales; Arecaceae. The record is from RNAcentral.